CCUACGGGAGGCAGCAGUGGGGAAUAUUGCACAAUGGGGGAAACCCUGAUGCAGCGACGCCGCGUGAGUGAAGAAGUAUCUCGGUACGUAAAGCUCUAUCUGCAGGGAAGAAAAUGACGGUACCUGACUACGAAUCCCCGGCUAACUACGGGCCAGCAGCCGCGGUCAUACGUAGGGGGCAAGCGUUAUCCGGAUUUACUGGGUGUAAAGGGAGCGUAGACGGCAGCACAAGUCUGGAGUGAAAGCCCGGGGCUUAACCCCGGAACUGCUGUGGAAACUGGGCGGCUGGAGUGCAGGAGGGGUAAGCGGAAUUCCUAGUGGAGCGGUGAAAUGCGUAGAUAUUAGGAGGAACACCGGUUGCGAAGGCGGCUUACUGGACUGUAACUGACGUUGAGGCUCGAAAGCGUGGGGAGCAAACAGGAUUAGAUACCCGAGUAGUC
Molecule: ribosomal RNA, 440 nt
Filed under: uncultured bacterium
Lineage: Bacteria
Description: partial 16S ribosomal RNA
Rfam family: Bacterial small subunit ribosomal RNA
Source: RNAcentral